CCAUAUUCAUUUUACUCUAUUCUUUUACUAUUUCUGUUUUAAUUAAACUAAAUUGUUCAUUGGGAAAAGCUGCUAGAAGUUUUCUUUUCUCUGGCUUAAAGGGAUAAUAUGAGUUCACAACUCUACUAUAUUGUCAUUAAGCUCCUCUUAUUUUGUCAAAGCCCCCCAUUUCACCCUUGCACUAUGUUGGAAUUAUCAGACUGUUUUAAAGAGCCUUCACGCUCGAAUUUCCAGACCAGUGUCAUCCAAUAAACACAACACUCCCAGAGAAAUGAUAUUGCAGACACAUUUUAACACCAAAAGGAGGUGUGAAGCUGAAAUGACAAACGUGUUGAUGGCAUGUCACAGAAGAAAUGUGUGCUGACGGAGAAAUUUCAAAUUCAGAGGGAAGCAAAGAGCCUAUAUAGGAAUAGAAACAUCGCUUAUAGAAGAGAACGCUUCAGCUAUAGUGAACAUUCUUAGGGAGAUGCUGACUUGUUUGGGAUCUGUAAAAAACUAGAUUUUCCCCGAACUCCUCCAUAUACCACUACACAAAAAGCAAUGGACAGAAGUUCUGUUUUUCUAUUUUUAACCAAAUAAGGAAAAGGAUCAUUUACAAAAGGAAAAGCAUUUGCUCCAAGGGUGUUUUUGGCACCUAUCCCACUCUCCAGUACUUCAAAAUGCCUGUAGCCGUACCUCAGCAAUUUCUGACAAUCGGGGGAGAACCUAGUUUAGAAAUCAGAGCUCCACUCCAUUCCAACUCGGGCAACGUAUUACCUGGAUUCUCAUUCUCAUUCAAGGCACAUUUACCCAGAGCUUCACUAUCUAAUAACAUUUUUGCAUGAAGCUUCAUAGAAUAUAGAAUUAAAAUAUGUAAUCCUUGUUAAUCGUCUAAGCUGCCUUUAUUAAGUGCUGGGAGAUGUAGUAGCCCAGGAAUUGGAUGAUGUUCAGUAUCUAUCAAAGAAUGAAUAGAUUGUGCCGUCCCAGCAUUACUUUCCCAUUCUAAUACUUUACUUUUGGCUGAUGACUCCCCCUUCUCUUUGUCAUGAAUCAUCUGUUUUGGGGUUCAAGCUGUUGCUCUGCAUUAUAACACAGAAUUACACAUUUGUAAACUGAGAACGUUUGCUUACUGACACUUAAUAUAGAAUUGUAAUAUUUCUGUGAAUACUUUUUCCUUUAGUCCCUUCAAGGUCAGUCUGGUUCUAAACUCAGGGUACACCCAGCUUCUCCCUAAGGGUACGAAAGUGCGUUGGAAUACUUUGUCUUUGUAAAGGGUAAAAGGAUUAAGGAACGGACUGGCCAGCCUUGGUCCAUUUGAAAGAUUAAGAGGGCCCAAGGAGUCAUUUUGAACUCUCUUAAGCGUCAAGGUCCAGCCAUAUAGGAAAAGGUGCUGGCCUGUUUUGGUCUUGGC
RNAcentral lists this long non-coding RNA (1390 nucleotides) under Monodelphis domestica (gray short-tailed opossum). Its description in RNAcentral is "lncRNA (ENSMODG00000031135.2)". The record is from RNAcentral. Lineage: Eukaryota; Metazoa; Chordata; Mammalia; Didelphimorphia; Didelphidae.